UGCUUCGGGCAGCGACGGCGCGCCUCUCCCGCGAGUCAUCAGUGUCGGCUCGAGGGCCGCGCGGCCUCGGCCUAGACCCGGUUGGUUUCUUGUGCUGCGUACCCGCGCGAAGGGCAUCCUUCUCUCGUCCCAACCGUCCCUGUGUUCGUCCGCUGCUCCCCCUUCGGGGCGGGGCACGCGACGGAACUCGCAGCCCGGUCCGCUACCCGCGUCGCCUCCGGCUGUCGCGGUGAGCGGGCGCUGGCAGAGCUCUCGGAUGCGGAAAGCACCGGGGGGCGCCGACGACGAGCGUCCCGAGUCCCCGACCCAGCGUACGACCGUCGCUCCCGUCGCGGCCCGACCGCGCGGGAAGGACGUCGGCGAGGAAUGCUACCUGGUUGAUCCUGCCAGU
Molecule: unclassified non-coding RNA, 391 nt
Filed under: Nephradenia filipes
Lineage: Eukaryota; Viridiplantae; Streptophyta; Magnoliopsida; Gentianales; Apocynaceae
Description: partial external transcribed spacer
Source: RNAcentral